RNAcentral lists this ribosomal RNA (415 nucleotides) under uncultured microorganism. RNAcentral's name for it is "bacterial SSU rRNA". It matches the Rfam family "Archaeal small subunit ribosomal RNA", at positions 459 to 873 of the family's 1478-position model. The record is from RNAcentral.
CAGCCGCCGCGGUAAUACCGGCGGCCCGAGUGGCGGCUACUCUUAUUGGGCCUAAAGCGUCCGUAGCCGGGCUGGUAAGUCCUCCGGGAAAUCUGGUCGCUUAACGAUCAGACUUCCGGAGGAUACUGCUGGCCUAGGGACCGGGAGAGGCCGAGGGGAUUCCCGGGGUAGGGGUGAAAUCCUGUAAUCCCGGGAGGACCACCUGUGGCGAAGGCGCUCGGCUGGAACGGGUCCGACGGUGAGGGACGAAGGCCAGGGGAGCGAACCGGAUUAGAUACCCGGGUAGUCCUGGCUGUAAACGAUGCGGACUAGGUGUCGGGCAAGCUAAGGGCUUGUCCGGUGCCGCAGGGAAGCCGUUAAGUCCGCCGCCUGGGGAGUACGGCCGCAAGGCUGAAACUUAAAGGAAUUGGCGGGG